GGACUGGAUCAACGGCUUGACGAUAAGAAAGCUGUCUCUCUUUACUAAACUCUGAAGUUAGCUGGAUAGUGAAGAGACUCUCUUAGCAAAGCGGGACGAGAAGACCCCGUUGAGCUUUAGUAAAAAUUGUUUAUUAAAAACUUGAUUACUUGAGUUGGGGCAACUAUCUUUCUUUUUUAAAACAAAGAUAAAAAUGUUUUGAGUUGAUUCUCUUAUGACCCUUAAUCUUAGGAAUAGUAGAAAAAGUUACCACGGGGAUAACAGCGUAAUUUUUUUUGAGAGUUCUUAUUGACAAAAAAGUUUGCGACCUCGAUGUUG
This 318-nucleotide ribosomal RNA is filed under the name Ophiothrix fragilis. RNAcentral describes it as "partial 16S ribosomal RNA". It matches the Rfam family "Bacterial large subunit ribosomal RNA", at positions 1985 to 2534 of the family's 2925-position model. The record is from RNAcentral. Lineage: Eukaryota; Metazoa; Echinodermata; Ophiuroidea; Amphilepidida; Ophiotrichidae.